CAUCCUCCAAGGCUAAAUACUCCUGACUGACCGAUAGUGAACCAGUACCGUGAGGGAAAGGCGAAAAGAACCCCGGCGAGGGGAGUGAAAAAGAACCUGAAACCGUGUACGUACAAGCAGUGGGAGCACAGGUUUACCUGUGUGACUGCGUACCUUUUGUAUAAUGGGUCAGCGACUUAUAUUCUGUAGCAAGGUUAACCGUAUAGGGGAGCCGCAGGGAAACCGAGUCUUAACCGGGCGUUAAGUUGCAGGGUAUAGACCCGAAACCCGGUGAUCUAGCCAUGGGCAGGUUGAAGGUUGGGUAACACUAACUGGAGGACCGAACCGACUAAUGUUGAAAAAUUAGCGGAUGACCUGUGGCU
Molecule: ribosomal RNA, 362 nt
Filed under: Salmonella enterica subsp. enterica serovar Derby
Lineage: Bacteria; Pseudomonadati; Pseudomonadota; Gammaproteobacteria; Enterobacterales; Enterobacteriaceae
Also listed under: 4 other names
Description: partial 23S ribosomal RNA
Rfam family: Bacterial large subunit ribosomal RNA
Source: RNAcentral